GACGAAGGAUGCAAGCGUUAUCCGGAUUCAUUGGGCUUAAAGGGCGCGUAGGUGGCCUUAUAAGUCAGUGGUGAAAUCUCUGGGCUUAACCCAGAAAUUGCCAUUGAUACUGUAGGGCUUGAGUAUAGAUGCCGUUGGCGGAAUAUGACAUGUAGUGGUGAAAUACAUAGAGAUGUCAUAGAACACCGAUUGCGAAGGCAGCUAACGAAACUAUAACUGACACUGAGGCUCGAAAGUGUGGGGAGCAAACAGG
RNAcentral lists this ribosomal RNA (253 nucleotides) under uncultured bacterium. RNAcentral's name for it is "partial 16S ribosomal RNA". It matches the Rfam family "Bacterial small subunit ribosomal RNA", at positions 524 to 776 of the family's 1533-position model. The record is from RNAcentral.